Molecule: ribosomal RNA, 572 nt
Filed under: uncultured bacterium
Lineage: Bacteria
Description: partial 16S ribosomal RNA
Rfam family: Bacterial small subunit ribosomal RNA
Source: RNAcentral
UGGGGAAUUUUGGACAAUGGGCGCAAGCCUGAUCCAGCCAUGCCGCGUGCGGGAAGAAGGCCUUCGGGUUGUAAACCGCUUUUGUCAGGGAAGAAAUCUUCUGAGUUAAUACCUCGGGAGGAUGACGGUACCUGAAGAAUAAGCACCGGCUAACUACGUGCCAGCAGCCGCGGUAAUACGUAGGGUGCAAGCGUUAAUCGGAAUUACUGGGCGUAAAGCGUGCGCAGGCGGUUUUGUAAGACAGAGGUGAAAUCCCCGGGCUCAACCUGGGAACUGCCUUUGUGACUGCAAGGCUUGAGUGCGGCAGAGGGGGAUGGAAUUCCGCGUGUAGCAGUGAAAUGCGUAGAUAUGCGGAGGAACACCGAUGGCGAAGGCAAUCCCCUGGGCCUGCACUGACGCUCAUGCACGAAAGCGUGGGGAGCAAACAGGAUUAGAUAGCCCUGGUAGUCCACGCCCUAAACGAUGUCAACUGGUUGUUGGGAAGGUUCCUUCUCAGUAACGUAGCUAACGCGUGAAGUUGACCGCCUGGGGAGUACGGCCGCAAGGUUGAAACUUAAAGGAAUUGACGGGGU